UACGAAGGGGACUAGCGUUGUUCGGAAUUACUGGGCGUAAAGCGUACGCAGGCGGCUAUGUAAGACAGGUGUGAAAUCCCCGGGCUUAACCUGGGAACUGCAUUUGUGACUGCAUGGCUAGAGUGCGGCAGAGGGGGAUGGAAUUCCGCGUGUAGCAGUGAAAUGCGUAGAUAUGCGGAGGAACACCGAUGGCGAAGGCAAUCCCCUGGGCCUGCACUGACGCUCAUGCACGAAAGCGUGGGGAGCAAACAGG
RNAcentral lists this ribosomal RNA (253 nucleotides) under uncultured bacterium. Its description in RNAcentral is "partial 16S ribosomal RNA". It matches the Rfam family "Bacterial small subunit ribosomal RNA", at positions 524 to 776 of the family's 1533-position model. The record is from RNAcentral.